AAUUCGCUUGUUCCCACAAUCAACUGCGUUAUGCUAAUUUGUAGUUUACACAAUAUUUAAAUAACUUUUUUAGGAAAUACACUACAUGAAAAUAAAACAGAGUUGCUGCUACCAGUUACCACCAACAAUGCUAAUUUGUCAACUUUUUACAUGUCCUCAUCGUGAUCAAGAAUUAAAAAUACAAACAUCUCCAACAACCACAAUUCUAGGCUGUUGUUACCAGUUGCCACCGAGUUGCUAGGGCUUCUAAGUUCAAAACCUGAGAUAGUAAUAGCAGAAGUGAUCUACAGAUGCAAAGCCUGCAAAUUUACAGGGAAAUGUGGAUCAGAUUCUCAUCAAUAAAACAAGCUACAAGUCUGGGCUGGAUUUCAACAAACUAAAGCAGACAUGCAUGUACAGACUAGAGCCAAAAAAAUAUGCACAGAACAAGGAUCAGAUUCAGGAAAGGAUCUAUCUAAGUUCAAGAAUGCCACGUUCCUACCUGAACUAGGAAAAAACUAGUAGUACCAAGAAGAACCAAAUAGAAGUCAAAAUAAGAAUCGAGAAUUAUACUUCUUAGGAAGUUAGAAAAGGAAAACAGGAUACUCUAUGUUCUAUUCUAACAAUGGAAGCACUUGCACAAAUUUAGGUAGAGCAGUAACAUUAUUCAUCUUUAACAUUUUUUCUUGUAUACUUGUUGGUUACAUAAUGGGAACAUUCAAGUCAAUCACAUGUACAGUAAAUGAGAAAAACUAACAAAUGCCUCAUGUUGUGUCAAAUUUUAUGCAGCUCCUGCUAAUUUAGUGUUAGCUUGGUGCAGGGCAGUGGCUCCUUUUGCCCAAUCCAAUUCCAGUCCAGCUACUUGAUCACUAGCUUUCAACAAAGAACUUGUUCGUUUUCUCUAAAAGAAUGAAACUGAAUGGUGUGUCCUAGGGGAAACUAAUGGGCAUAUAGAAAAUCAAAUAUGUUAUCAAGGAUAAACAUGAAGCCUACCACUGCUUUGCUAACUCUCCCUACAGAUAAUGGCAUUGCACCAGUUACAAAGCAGUAUUCACUCCGUAUUUACCCAAAAGAAUGGAUAAAAUCAGUAAAAAUAAUCAAACUAGUGUACUCAACCUCAUGGCAACGAAAUUCAGAGCUUUGUUCUUUUCCGAGAACAGAAAAGGCACAUAUGCUUUGAUCUUUGUUGCAGAUCAUAUUAUAUUGAACUCCUAAACCCUAUGACGACUGAUGCAAUUGUUAUGGCAUGGCACUACUGCUUUGACUGGCAAAUGCAAGUUUUUUCUUUUUACCAAACCAGGGGUUAAUUAAUUACUACAUAAUAUGGAGGGGUCACAUAUGGAAAGAGGUAGUGCAUGCUAACCACAGAUGGAAAUGGAGACGCUGGGCGGCCGGCGGCCAGAAGGCAGAUCUAAUGGAAAUGGAAAGAGGAAGAGAGGGACAAUAAACUUACCAGCCAGAAGGUUACUGGAGAGAAAGCCGUCGCUCGCUGAGAAGAUCGCCGUGCUGACGUCGUCGUCCCCCGCCACCGCCGCCGUGUGUUGCUUCGUCCG
Molecule: long non-coding RNA, 1532 nt
Filed under: Zea mays
Lineage: Eukaryota; Viridiplantae; Streptophyta; Magnoliopsida; Poales; Poaceae
Description: long non-coding RNA (ZMAY_LNC004520)
Source: RNAcentral